AUUGAACGCUGGCGGCAUGCUUUACACAUGCAAGUCGAACGGUAACAGGCCGCAAGGUGCUGACGAGUGGCGAACGGGUGAGUAAUGCAUCGGAACGUGCCCAGUCGUGGGGGAUAACUACUCGAAAGAGUAGCUAAUACCGCAUACGAUCUAUGGAUGAAAGCGGGGGACCGUAAGGCCUCGCGCGAUUGGAGCGGCCGAUGUCAGAUUAGGUAGUUGGUGGGGUAAAGGCUCACCAAGCCAACGAUCUGUAGCUGGUCUGAGAGGACGACCAGCCACACUGGGACUGAGACACGGCCCAGACUCCUACGGGAGGCAGCAGUGGGGAAUUUUGGACAAUGGGCGCAGGCCUGAUCCAGCAAUGCCGCGUGCAGGAAGAAGGCCUUCAGGUUGUAAACUGCUUUUGUACGGAACGAAACGGCUCUGGUUAAUACCCGGGGCUAAUGACGGUACCGUAAGAAUAAGCACCGGCUAACUACGUG
Molecule: ribosomal RNA, 482 nt
Filed under: uncultured bacterium
Lineage: Bacteria
Description: partial 16S ribosomal RNA
Rfam family: Bacterial small subunit ribosomal RNA
Source: RNAcentral